RNAcentral lists this microRNA precursor (64 nucleotides) under Bombyx mori (domestic silkworm). Its description in RNAcentral is "mir-2774 microRNA precursor family". It matches the Rfam family "mir-2774 microRNA precursor family". The record is from Rfam by way of RNAcentral. Lineage: Eukaryota; Metazoa; Arthropoda; Insecta; Lepidoptera; Bombycidae.
ACAACAUUGGGACCGUUCUACCGAGCAAUGUCACCCGCUCGGUGGAAGAUCUUCCCUCCGUUGU